AAGUCCCGUAACGAGCGCAACCCCUGUUCUUAGUUACCAGCGGAUAAUGCCGGGGACUCUAGGAAGACUGCCGGUGCCAAACCGGAGGAAGGUGGGGACGACGUCAAGUCAUCAUGGUCCUUACGUCUAGGGCUACACACGUGCUACAAUGGGCCGGACAGUGGGGGCCGAGGCAGCAAUGCCAAGGCAAUCCCAAAACCGGUCCUCAGUUCGGAUUGUCGUCUGCAACUCGACGGCAUGAAGCUGGAAUCGCUAGUAAUCGUGGAUCAGCAUCACCACGGUGAAUACGUUCCCGGGCCUUGUACACACCGCCCGU
Molecule: ribosomal RNA, 316 nt
Filed under: uncultured soil bacterium
Lineage: Bacteria
Description: bacterial SSU rRNA
Rfam family: Bacterial small subunit ribosomal RNA
Source: RNAcentral